Molecule: unclassified non-coding RNA, 1710 nt
Filed under: Hevea brasiliensis (rubber tree)
Lineage: Eukaryota; Viridiplantae; Streptophyta; Magnoliopsida; Malpighiales; Euphorbiaceae
Source: RNAcentral
CAGAAUUCUAAAAGAGCACAGAGCACAAAUUACAGUAAACUGUAGAGAGCUGCAGAAUUUUCCUCUCUCUUGUAGGGGUCUCCCCUCUUCACGCAAGUCUCACACAUAAAUCUCCACGAUUCUUUUGCUUGGGGUUCUCGCAAUGUCAACGAUAGACCUCAAACUCUCUCGAUCCAACCGAAUCUAUUGUCCCUCUGUAUGUUUUCUCUCUCUCUCUCACUCUACAAAUAUAUAUGCACUGAUCGUCAGAUCAAACGACAUUGCUCUGUAUAUUUUCAGGAACCUCUUCAGGGCAAAAUCGUUAUCAAGUCUCCAUCUUCACUUUCUCACUAUGGAAUUCGCCUCACCGUCAAUGGAUCUGUUAACUUGCAGGUUUUCAAUUCAAUCCUCUGUUUGGUUUCUGACUGAAUGUGAACCAAAAUUUCAACUCAUACAUUCUCUUGUGAGAAUGAAAACGAUUCUUUUAGUUGUAAAAUUUUCUUGGGAUGAACGAAAUUUUUUUUGGAUUUUCGAUUCAAUUUUGGUAGCUUUUACGUUUGAUACUGAUUUGUGCUUCUACUUUUCGAUGCUUUUCGUGUUUUCAGAUUCGGGGAGGAUCUGCAGGAGUUAUUGAGUCCUUUUAUGGUGUUAUAAAACCCAUAACCAUUGUGUAAGUUCCUAUUUUGGGCAUUUGUUUAUGCUCUUAUUUUUCUAAAAUUAAUUGCAAAAAUUCUUUGAAUUAUUCUCCCCAUCCCUGAAACAAAAAAUGAAGCGCGCACACACGGUGCAUGCGCGCACACACCCAUAAAAAAAAAAGAAAGUGGAAUUAUUUUCUUCAAUACUUCGAGGGGUAGGGGAGCAAUUGGUGUCCCUUUCAGAAGGUAAAUGUUAAGAAGAGGAAAUUAGUUGACAGUUGUGUGAUCAAUUGUGUACAACAUGAAGAAAAGGAUGAAAAAUAAAGGAGAUUGCAACCCAAAAUCUAUACUUAAUCGAUACAUGUGAAUUUGAAUUUUUUAGCUGAUAGUAGAUUGAGUACGGGUAAUAUUGCAUGUAUGUUAGAGCUGAAAAAGGCAUUUAAAGCCUGGUUGUGAGCUCUGGUCCAAGCCUUCAAUCCUCUAAUCAUAAGUUGAGCACUUAGUGAUCUUUGUUAUUAAAGAGAGGAAGAGAGAGUUUCACUUUGGAACAUGUGUAAGAUGCAUUGUGGUUUUUAAGAUUUUGUUUACUCAGGAAAAGAAAAAAGAAUAAGAGAAAAAAAUGUGAUCAGUUCUAGCAAUUUGAUAGUUGUAGUGUUGAUGUGCUUACAGAGAUAGAUAUGCAUGCAUAAAAACACAUUCAAAAAGUAAUGCUAGAGUUAUGGUAAGUGCUUGACAUAGACAUGGAGCUUCGUUGCAUGACACCAUUUAUAAUUGUACCCAUGUAGUGCCUGAUGCAAAAUUUUUUAUGGAUGUGAUGUUGAUGUAGAACGUCUGGUGAAUUAGGGUUUAGAAUCAUGUGGAAGCUAAAAUAGUAGGAAAUUAACAUUCGCAAAGUGGCAUGAUUUAGGAUCAAGACAAGAUAAACCAAGUUCUUGGAGUUAGAAACUAUAGUGGUUUUGGCACUAUAAAUAACGGCACGAUGGAUGAUAGCUUUGGGAAAUCUGGGUAGUAUAUGAGGAUUUAUUUCUACAAGAGGGUCUUUAAGUUUCAAAGUUGUCGAAAAAGCAAGGUGUGUUAAGGCGCCAGUUUUUCAUGU